RNAcentral lists this long non-coding RNA (1705 nucleotides) under Marmota monax (woodchuck). The record is from RNAcentral. Lineage: Eukaryota; Metazoa; Chordata; Mammalia; Rodentia; Sciuridae.
AAUACCAACGUGUCCUUUGGCUUCGCUUUCUAUGACUCACUGGGAACCAAAGCCCAGGUGAAUCGCCCAGGCUCCCCGUGUCAUUUUUGUUUCAUUAAUGACGUGUCUGCUCUGUUUUGUUCUUAGCUCCUCAGAGAAGGCGCUUCUGCAGGUCUUUCCCAUGGGACCUAAAGCUUCACUCAAGCCCCUUCAAGACUUAGAACAACUACAAGUCAUGUUCAAGAGCACCAGUUGACUGAAAAUGCACCUGGCAAUAUUGUACCAGCUCCAUCAAUGUCAAGAACUUAGGUCCUUUGCCUUCUGGUCUCCUCAUAGCAUGCAGUUUUAUGGCUGGGCAGGUUUUUGCAGGCUGGUAUCUCUGUGUUAACGGUGAGAGGAAGGGUCCCUGAUGGUUAAGUAUUUUCUUGCCCCCACCCCCUUCAAGCUCUCCUAGAACCUUGAUCUUAUCAGCCGGCCAUUUCCCAGGGCUCUCUGGUGGAGCUUCAUAGGAAACACCUUGAACCUGACUGGUCCUGGCACCUGGCAGUUGGGGAAGGAGGAAGACAGAGAGCUUGCAACUGAAGGAAGAGUGUACUUGGCUCUGUCACUAAAUGGUUCCUCCCUCUCGGGGACAGGCAAGCAGCAGUUGUAGGGCAAUGGCCAACUGAUCCAUUUGGAGAUAGAGUCAGGGUGUGGUGUUCCGGGUAAGUUUGGGCAGGCCCUGGGAAACUGGAGCAGAGCUAGAUCCUGGCCUAAAGUUGGGCAAGCUGCAGAGGCACUUGGGUAUGCUGGUUUUAGGUGUGUGAGCUUUGCUCUCUGUUAAGGGAGGGGUGGGGGUGUCCAAGAGGACUAGCAUGUCUGUUUUCCCCUCAUUCACAAUAGAAGGGAGACUUGGCUAGGCCCUUCAAAGUCUGGCCUUAAUGCACCAGACUUUGUCUCUUUUCUCAGUAAUUCAUAGCACAAAUCAUCCGUCCCAUGCCUGGGAACCAAGCUCACAGCGAACUUCACAUCUGUAAGCCUUGUCUCAUGCCCUUGUCUCUUUUUGGUAAGCUUCUCAGGAUUUCAGUCUGCCUCACUCACUUUUGAGUGGAGGGGACUAGAGAUUGAACCCAUCCUUUUUUUUUUUUUUUGAUACAGGGUCUCACUAAGUUGCUCAGGGCCUCAUUUAGUUGCUGAGGCUGGCCUCAAAUUUGUGAUACUCCUGCCUCAGCCUCCCCCAGUUGCUGGGUUUACAGGCAUGUGCCAUCAUAGCUGGCCUGCCCCACUCACUUCUGAGAAAACUUUUCCCAGUGCAGGAGCCUCAACUCAUGGCUCCGUUCUCUCUUCCCCUAAUCCUAGGAUUCACUGUUGGUUUGGGGUCUAGCUCUGUUAUGUUUACUUCUUUGCCUGCUUCCUGCCCUCCAGGUGGGCAGUUUCCUGAGCUUUUGCUCUUGCUAUUCCUUCUGCCAAGAACUCUCUUCCUUCCUUGGGAUCUUUAGAUGUUCUCAUCCUUCAAAUGUCAUCUCAAAUGUACCCUCCUCAGCGAGGCCCUCCUUGACCACCUCAUCUACUAAGUAGUCACUCUUUGACCCAUUACCUAAAAUGUAGUAUCACCUUAAAACUCAUGUGAAAUUGUCCUCAUUUAUGCAUCGGCUUGGAUGGUGUCCCUUCCUCUCAAAUAUAAUCACCUGGAGGGUGAGACCAAGCAGAACGAGUUGACACAUAGUUGACACCCAAUAAAUAUUUG